Molecule: transfer RNA, 74 nt
Filed under: Marmota monax (woodchuck)
Lineage: Eukaryota; Metazoa; Chordata; Mammalia; Rodentia; Sciuridae
Description: tRNA.Ala
Source: RNAcentral
CUGGGGUUGUGGCUCAGCGGUAGAGUGCUCACCUAGCACGUGCAAGGCCCUGGGUUCAAUCCUCAGACCACAUA